UGCUCAUUUUGGCAGCAAUAUGCUAAAAUUGGAACGAUACAGAGAAGAUUAGCAUGGCCCCUGCACAAGGAUGACAUGUUUUUAAAAUUUUUUU
This is a small nuclear RNA of Chlorocebus sabaeus (green monkey), 94 nucleotides long. The record is from Ensembl. Lineage: Eukaryota; Metazoa; Chordata; Mammalia; Primates; Cercopithecidae.